This 499-nucleotide ribosomal RNA is filed under the name uncultured bacterium. Its description in RNAcentral is "partial 16S ribosomal RNA". It matches the Rfam family "Bacterial small subunit ribosomal RNA", at positions 29 to 523 of the family's 1533-position model. The record is from RNAcentral.
AUUGAACGCUGGCGGAAUGCUUUACACAUGCAAGUCGAGCGGCAGCGCGGGGCAUCCUGGCGGCGAGCGGCGAACGGGUGAGUAAUGCAUCGGAACGUGUCCAUGUCGUGGGGGAUAGCCCGGCGAAAGCCGGAUUAAUACCGCAUACGCCCGAGAGGGGAAAGUGGGGGACCGCAAGGCCUCACGCGAUUGGUUCGGCCGAUGUCGGAGUAGCUAGUUGGCGGGGUAAAGGCCCACCAAGGCGAUGCUCGGUAGCUGGCCUGAGAGGAUGAUCAGCCACACUGGGACUGAGAAACGGGCCAGACUCAUACGGGAGGCAGCAGUGGGGAAUUUUGGACAAUGGGCGCAAGCCUGAUCCGGCCAUGCCGCGUGCAGGAUGAAGGCCUUCGGGUUGUAAACUGCUUUUGUACGGAACGAAAAGGUUUGGCCUAAUACGCUGAACUCAUGACGGUACCGUAAGAAUAAGCACCGGCUAACUACGUGCCAGCCGCCGCCGUAA